GUUGGCGGCCAUAGCGGAGGGGUAACACCCGGUCCCAUCUCGAACCCGGAAGUAAAGUCCUCCCGCGUUCCGUGUGGUACUGCCGUGAUGGUGGGAAGCCCGGACCGUCGCCAACA
This 116-nucleotide ribosomal RNA is filed under the name Candidatus Undinarchaeales archaeon. Lineage: Archaea; Nanobdellati; Candidatus Undinarchaeota; Candidatus Undinarchaeia; Candidatus Undinarchaeales. The record is from RNAcentral.